Molecule: long non-coding RNA, 305 nt
Filed under: Gallus gallus (chicken)
Lineage: Eukaryota; Metazoa; Chordata; Aves; Galliformes; Phasianidae
Source: RNAcentral
GGCAGGAAAAGCAGUGGGCUGAAGGGCUGCGAUGGUGCCAUGCUGGGCUCCGGCCUCCGCCGGUCCCUGCACAGCAGCAGGUAGAACACAGCCAGGCAGGAGAACUCACCAAGGAACAUGCCCACGGCCUGCAGGAAGGGGUGCUGGAAGCUGUGCUCCUCCGUCCCACCACAGCCAGCAGCGCUGAAGUUGUCAGCCCAUUUGGCCGCCAGAGUGUUGAUGGAGCCGGUGAGCAGCAUGAGGGCAGCCAGGCCCAGCUGGUACCGAGACCACGCCAUGGCCCCGCCGCCGCCGCUGCCGCCGCC